This 454-nucleotide ribosomal RNA is filed under the name uncultured bacterium. RNAcentral's name for it is "bacterial SSU rRNA". It matches the Rfam family "Bacterial small subunit ribosomal RNA", at positions 259 to 704 of the family's 1533-position model. The record is from RNAcentral.
AAUGGCCUACCAAGGCUACGACGGGUAGCUGGUCUAAGAGGAUGGCCAGCCACACUGGAACUGAGACACGGUCCAGACUCCUACGGGAGGCAGCAGUGGGGAAUCUUGCGCAAUGGGCGAAAGCCUGACGCAGCGACGCCGCGUGGGUGACGAAGGCCUUCGGGUUGUAAAGCCCUGUGGGGUAGAACGAACUGGCAUCGGGCUAAUAUCCCGGUGUCUUGACGGUACUGCCUUAGCAAGCAUCGGCUAACUCUGUGCCAGCAGCCGCGGUAAGACAGAGGAUGCGAACGUUGCUCGGAUUUACUGGGCGUAAAGCGCGUGUAGGCGGUCUCGUUAGUCGGGUGUGAAAGCCCCGGGCUCAACCCGGGAAGUGCACCCGAUACUGCGAGACUGGGGUACUGAAGAGGAGAGCGGAAUUCCCGGUGUAGAGGUGAAAUUCGUAGAUAUCGGGAGG